Molecule: ribosomal RNA, 327 nt
Filed under: Triticum aestivum (bread wheat)
Lineage: Eukaryota; Viridiplantae; Streptophyta; Magnoliopsida; Poales; Poaceae
Description: partial small subunit ribosomal RNA
Source: RNAcentral
AUGUAUCUUGCGAUUCUUUGUGUGCCGGUUACAUCUGCGGGUACGGCUGCACGAGUUCAUGUCUGUCAUUCACACAUGCAAAUUGUGAUGCCUGCUGCUUGCGACAGUUUCGCCCCUGUUGGAUUCAAACUUGGUUCUGAAAAGCACACCACAGAGGUCACCGUGAAGAAGUCUGGAAGCCUGCUUAUAAAUUCUGGGAUACAAGGAUACUCCCUGCUAAAGACAACUCAGUCUGGAUUUGAAGGAUUCAUGAGGGAUCGCUACACUCUUCUUCCUGAAACAAGAGAAAGAAUUGUAGCUACAGAAGUAACUGCUUGGUGGAGAUGA